This 381-nucleotide ribosomal RNA is filed under the name Spirotrichea sp. RNAcentral's name for it is "partial small subunit ribosomal RNA". It matches the Rfam family "Eukaryotic small subunit ribosomal RNA", at positions 582 to 975 of the family's 1831-position model. Lineage: Eukaryota; Ciliophora; Spirotrichea. The record is from RNAcentral.
AUUCCAGCUCCAAUAGCGUAUAUUAAAGUUGUUGCAGUUAAAAAGCUCGUAGUUGGAUUUCUGGGAGGGUGCCGCCGUCCGGCGUGUCCGUGUGCAGUGGCGCCCUUCCAUCCUUCUGUUAGCGUCUCUUGGCAUUCAUUUGCUGGUGGCGGGCUCAGAUAUUUUACCUUGAGAAAAUUAGAGUGUUUCAGGCAGGCUAGGCCGGAAUACAUUAGCAUGGAAUAAUGGAAUAGGACUACGGUCUCUUUGUUGGUUUGAGGGACUGCAGUAAUGAUUAAUAGGGAUAGUUGGGGGCAUUAGUAUUUAAUUGUCAGAGGUGGAAUUCUCGGAUUUGUUAAAGACUAACUUAUGCGAAAGCAUUUGCCAAGGAUGUUUUCAUUG